Molecule: ribosomal RNA, 465 nt
Filed under: Vreelandella stevensii
Lineage: Bacteria; Pseudomonadati; Pseudomonadota; Gammaproteobacteria; Oceanospirillales; Halomonadaceae
Description: partial 16S ribosomal RNA
Rfam family: Bacterial small subunit ribosomal RNA
Source: RNAcentral
CCUACGGGCGGCUGCAGUGGGGAAUAUUGGACAAUGGGGGGAACCCUGAUCCAGCCAUGCCGCGUGUGUGAAGAAGGCCCUCGGGUUGUAAAGCACUUUCAGUGAGGAAGAACGCCUGGUGGUUAAUACCCAUCAGGAAAGACAUCACUCACAGAAGAAGCACCGGCUAACUCCGUGCCAGCAGCCGCGGUAAUACGGAGGGUGCGAGCGUUAAUCGGAAUUACUGGGCGUAAAGCGCGCGUAGGUGGCUUGAUAAGCUGGUUGUGAAAGCCCCGGGCUCAACCUGGGAACGGCAUCCGGAACUGUCAAGCUAGAGUGCAGGAGAGGAAGGUAGAAUUCCCGGUGUAGCGGUGAAAUGCGUAGAGAUCGGGAGGAAUACCAGUGGCGAAGGCGGCCUUCUGGACUGACACUGACACUGAGGUGCGAAAGCGUGGGUAGCAAACAGGAUUAGAUACCCUAGUAGUC